This 448-nucleotide ribosomal RNA is filed under the name Bacillus sp. (in: firmicutes). Its description in RNAcentral is "bacterial SSU rRNA". It matches the Rfam family "Bacterial small subunit ribosomal RNA", at positions 359 to 799 of the family's 1533-position model. Lineage: Bacteria; Bacillati; Bacillota; Bacilli; Caryophanales; Bacillaceae. The record is from RNAcentral.
UAGCAAACGAGGCUGAUGACGAGUCUGACGGAGCACGCCGCGUGAGCGAUGAAGGCCUUCGGGUCGUAAAGCUCUGUUGUUAGGGAAGAACAAGUGCUAGUUGAAUAAGCUGGCACCUUGACGGUACCUAACCAGAAAGCCACGGCUAACUACGUGCCAGCAGCCGCGGUAAUACGUAGGUGGCAAGCGUUAUCCGGAAUUAUUGGGCGUAAAGCGCGCGCAGGUGGUUUCUUAAGUCUGAUGUGAAAGCCCACGGCUCAACCGUGGAGGGUCAUUGGAAACUGGGAGACUUGAGUGCAGAAGAGGAAAGUGGAAUUCCAUGUGUAGCGGUGAAAUGCGUAGAGAUAUGGAGGAACACCAGUGGCGAAGGCGACUUUCUGGUCUGCAACUGACACUGAGGCGCGAAAGCGUGGGGAGCAAACAGGAUUAGAUACCCCGGUAGUCAAUC